GACGGAGGUGGCGAGCGUUACUCGGAUUCACUGGGCUUAGAGCGGGUGUAGGCGGCCAUGCAAGUCUGGAGUGAAAUCCCCCGGCUCAACCGGGGAACUGCUUGGGAUACUGCAUGGCUUGAGGCAAGCAGGGGUCAGUGGAACGUUUGGUGUAGCGGUGAAAUGCGUAGAUAUCAAACGGAACGCCGGUGGUGAAGACGGCUGACUGGGCUUGUCCUGACGCUCAGACCCGAAAGCGUGGGGAGUGAACCGGAUUAGAUACCCGGGUAAUCCACGCCCUAAACGAUGCGCACUAGAUUCAGGAGCCUCUGACGGUUUCUGGGUCGAUGUGAAAACGUUAAGUGCGCCGCCUGGGGAGUACGGCCGCAAGGUUAAA
This 376-nucleotide ribosomal RNA is filed under the name uncultured bacterium. RNAcentral describes it as "bacterial SSU rRNA". It matches the Rfam family "Bacterial small subunit ribosomal RNA", at positions 524 to 898 of the family's 1533-position model. The record is from RNAcentral.